Molecule: ribosomal RNA, 253 nt
Filed under: uncultured bacterium
Lineage: Bacteria
Description: partial 16S ribosomal RNA
Rfam family: Bacterial small subunit ribosomal RNA
Source: RNAcentral
UACAGGGGGUGCAAACGUUGCUCGGAAUUAUUGGGCGUAAAGCGCACGUAGGCGGUUACUUAAGUCGGAUGUGAAAGCCCUUGGCUCAACCGAGGAAGUGCACCCGAAACUGAGUAGCUUGAGUACGAAAGAGGGUCGCGGAAUUCCCGGUGUAGAGGUGAAAUUCGUAGAUAUCGGGAGGAACACCGGUGGCGAAGGCGGCGACCUGGGUCGAUACUGACGCUGAGGUGCGAAAGCGUGGGGAGCAAACAGG